This 292-nucleotide unclassified non-coding RNA is filed under the name Melitaea cinxia (Glanville fritillary). Its description in RNAcentral is "misc RNA ENSMCXG00005010251.1". The record is from RNAcentral. Lineage: Eukaryota; Metazoa; Arthropoda; Insecta; Lepidoptera; Nymphalidae.
UGUCACUGUGCAAAUGCACUCGUAAACCCGGCGCGAGGUCAACGCACCCCCUCUCCGCGCGUCCACGACGCCCGCGCACCCCGUCCCUAUAAAACCUUAUAUAACUACGUUUUGAUAUCCUGAGCCCUGAUGACCCAUUUGAAAGAGCGUGCAAAUCGAUUACCCUCGCGUCACUAUCUCGCGUUCUUCUUCGGGCUCUGAAACUUCCAACAAUGCUCAGUUUUCAAUUAUUAAAUUUAUGUAUUAAUGAUAUAGUUACUUAUAAUAAAUGAUAUUAUAAUUAUUUAUAUAA